Molecule: non-coding RNA, 2218 nt
Organism: Lactuca sativa (garden lettuce)
Lineage: Eukaryota; Viridiplantae; Streptophyta; Magnoliopsida; Asterales; Asteraceae
Source: RefSeq, a predicted model, not a curated record
AAAAAUUAAUAAGUGCGGGGAAGAGGGGAAAACAAACCAAUAUUGGCGUUGUCGAUAACCUACCGAGCGGAAACCCUUCGUCGUCACCUGUUGUUCAGUGUUCACUUUCUCCAACACAUUAAUGAUGGCGGAAGUAGUACACUACAAGCUCCAGCGCAUAGUCAAUGGGCGCCAUGGCUUAUUCUCUCGCCGUGGAAAUGCCGAUAUGGUCAAACAACACUGAAAGUCCCCUGAAACAUGAUUACUUAACGCAUAUCGACUACGAGAAAUCUCUCGAUGUGCUCCUUCUCCUCCGUAAGAAAUGGAUGAACCAGAGAGAUCUUCAACAACUUUGAACAUGUUUAGUAUUCAUCUACUGCCUUAGACCUAUCUUUUCGGCAUCUAGGGAUUACAGUUCAUCUUCUCCUCCUAUUCAAUAGCAUUUGCACUACAGUUGUUCGAUGAAAUGCUUACAUGAACUGGGAGUGCAUUUCUACUGUGGGUCUGCAUCUCGUUGGACUUAUUGCACAUAUAGUUCGCCCCUUCAAGUUGCUUCUUAAAGUUUCCUGAAUGAUUGAUUGUACUUGAGUAUAUCUAUCUCUUUCUGUUCAUAAUUGGUGAUCUCUUUCUCUCUCUCUCAUAUUUUUUUUGAAAACUGUGAAUUCCAAGGGUUGUAUUAACCUCUUGUUGCACUCCUCUAUAAGCAUACCAUUACCAUUACCUUCUUCAGGUUUUCUCAGACACAUAUCAAUAUUUUUUGUGAAUGAAUUGAUGUAGAUCUUCGAGAUAAGGCCUCUUUUGUUGCUGUCAGAUCAACAUUGAGUUUGGCAUUUUGAUAGGAAAGUUUUGUUACUUAUGCAGCUAAGUUUCUGAGCUUAAUUGCUGCAGCUACAGUCAGCUCAUUUGCAUAUGAACCUUCAUCUGCUAACCUUCUUAAUUCCCUGGUGAAAAUUUAGGAACUUUGAUAAGAGCAUUUAAAGCCUCCUUCUUGGCUUUCUUUGAUGGGAUGUCCUCAUAUUUGAUGCCUAAAUGGGUAUUACGAUACAUAUAUUCUUUUUCUUCAUCGAUUUGAAUCCAGAUGUCCACCAGGCAACUGUAUAUGGACUUGGAGUGUGCAGAGUAUGGUGGUUCUAUUAACAACCAUAAAACCACUAGUUGGUGUUGGAGAGGCUCUCUCGAGGCUAAAUGUUGUAAUAAGACACUAUAAGGCUCUUCAUCCUAAGAAUGUGAUUGCAUAUGAUGAUGCGGUUUCUGAUUUGGGGAAAAUAUGUUAUUUUCAUUGCGAUAGUAUCGAAUUAGCAGAUGAAGAUUAUUCCUAUAUGGUUAAGCUUUUUUCUGAUUAAAGGAAAGUUGUCCAUGAGCUACUUUGUUCAAUGGCCGAAAGGUCAGACACUGCAUCUCCCUGAAAUUGUAUUUGUUGAGAUUUACAUACAUGAUAUAAGGUUGAUGAUGUGAAGUUAUGGAUGAGCUCAAGUUGAUUUUAGAGAAUUCUGACCUUGACUUUGACUUGACUAAUGAAAGAAAAGUCUGCAUUGAUGGAGAGGUGAUUUUGAACCUACAAAUACGUUGACAAAACAGCUAAUUUAUCAAACAAUCAGAUAAUCAACUACAAAUGUGAUACCCCUCAGAUAAACAAUCAGUUACUCUAUAUAUCCCGAUUUAGUGGCGGAUGUAUUCUUCUUCCUAAUUGACGAAUCAAUUUGUAAAUGGUUAAAUACAAGAAUUAUCAACCAAAAUCAGUGACGACUUUUUAUGGUCACUAUUUAGAUAAUAUAGUGACGACUUUUUAUGGUCACUAUUUAGAUAAAAUAGUGACGACUUUUUAUGGUCAUUAUUUGUAUAAAUCAGUGACGACUUUUUAUGGUCACUAAUUAGAUAAAAUAGUGACGACUUUCAUUGAUUAGUGACAACAUUAAGUGACGAAACGGGUCGUCACAGAUUAGUGACCAAUAUAUUCUAGUCACUAUUUAGUGACCACCUAUAUAUUUUGGUCACUAAAUCAGUUUUGUGACGGACCUAUAGUGACGAAAAGUGACGACCAUAAUUUUGGUCACUAAAUCAAUUUGUGACAACUCUUUCUAUUGUUAGUGACCAAUUCGUUUUCGUCACUAAUUGACACUUUUUUUGUAGUGUCGGAUGCAUGUAAUUUAUGUAUUGUAUUUGGUUUGAACAAUUACAGAAAACUUUUUUUAAUUAUAUCAUCAGAAAAUAAUAAAACUAUCAGAAUAGAUUAUAUGCU